Xenia sp. Carnegie-2017 is the source of this 575-nucleotide long non-coding RNA. RefSeq lists it as uncharacterized. The record is from RefSeq and is a predicted model, not a curated record. The transcript has 2 exons. NCBI's taxonomy places the organism in Eukaryota, Metazoa, Cnidaria, Anthozoa, Malacalcyonacea, Xeniidae.
GUCAUUCGAUAAUAUCUCUUUUUUUUAUGUCUUGAUGGAAAGUUUGGACACAAGUCGUCAUCGCGUAUUGUCCAAGAUAUUCACAUAUUCUAAAGCUUAUUUUUCUGUAAUCAGAUAGUUGGUGAAAAGUCAGGAGUCUCAGGGCCAAUGUCGGAGAAAAAACUCCGUUCGUCGUUACAAUUUCCGGUAGUUAAACAAAGCGGCACAGUGUUUCAUAUUGCGCUGUGUAGAGCGAUCGUCGAUUUCUUCUGCUCUUCCUGAAGGGAUAGUUGAAGUGUAGCUGUUAAACUUUCUCUCUGGCGUGAUGUCUUGCUGACAAAUCGAUGCAAACUUGCAUAUUUUUGCAAAACCCAUGAAAUCGACUCAAGGUCAAUCAAGGCUGGAUAGUCAUCAAAUAUCACCUCUCUUUAAUAAUUCACCUUCCCGCAAGCCUGUUUUGUUCACCUGACAUAGAAAAUGGACUUUAUAAACACUGAAAUUGUCAUAUUUUUGUUGAAAGAAAAUUCAACAACCUAAGAAGAUUUCAUUUGUUUUUAUUUGUCAUUAUGAGAAAGUUGCACUUCAAUGAUCACUUA